CUUUGGGAUAACCCUCGGAAACGGGGGCUAAUACCGGAUAUGACCUCCUGUCGCAUGGUGGGGGGUGGAAAGUUUUUCGGCCUGGGAUGGGCUCGCGGCCUAUCAGCUUGUUGGUGGGGUGAUGGCCUACCAAGGCGACGACGGGUAGCCGGCCUGAGAGGGCGACCGGCCACACUGGGACUGAGACACGGCCCAGACUCUACGGGAGGCAGCAGUGGGGAAUAUUGCACAAUGGGCGGAAGCCUGAUGCAGCGACGCCGCGUGAGGGAUGACGGCCUUCGGGUUGUAAACCUCUUUCUGCAGGGACGAAGCGCAAGUGACGGUACCUGCAGAAGAAGCGCCGGCCAACUACGUGCCAGCAGCCGCGGUAAGACGUAGGGCGCGAGCGUUGUCCGGAUUUAUUGGGCGUAAAGAGCUCGUAGGCGGCUUGUCGCGUCGACCGUGGAAACUUGGGACUCAACCCCAAGCCUGCGGUCGAUACGGGCAGGCUAGAGUUCGGUAGGGGAGACUGGAAUUCCUGGUGUAGCGGUGAAAUGCGCAGAUAUCAGGAGGAACACCGGUGGCGAAGGCGGGUCUCUGGGCCGAUACUGACGCUGAGGAGCGAAAGCGUGGGGAGCGAACAGGAUUAGAUACCCUGGUAGUCCACGCUGUAAACGUAGGGCGC
This 664-nucleotide ribosomal RNA is filed under the name uncultured Micromonosporaceae bacterium. RNAcentral describes it as "bacterial SSU rRNA". It matches the Rfam family "Bacterial small subunit ribosomal RNA", at positions 136 to 816 of the family's 1533-position model. Lineage: Bacteria; Bacillati; Actinomycetota; Actinomycetes; Micromonosporales; Micromonosporaceae. The record is from RNAcentral.